This 369-nucleotide long non-coding RNA is filed under the name Homo sapiens (human). RNAcentral's name for it is "non-protein coding lnc-ARL1-2:1". Lineage: Eukaryota; Metazoa; Chordata; Mammalia; Primates; Hominidae. The record is from RNAcentral.
CUUCCAUAAAUAUUUUAUCAGAAGCUAGAGAACUACAUAAAUGAAAAGAUAGUUAAAAGUGAAUAUUAAUGUCUGUCUUCUGAGAAUCUUCACUUUACUUUGUGAAGAGAAGUUUCCAUCAGAGAGGAAUCUGAACCACAGAGUGGCUGGAUGGCUUUCCCAAUGGUAAUGGCAAACCUCACUAUAGAAGCAAAAUCUACAGAGUCCUGGAAACAGUGAGUUUCCCCCCGAUUCCACAAUGUUUGACUGAACUGGAGAGAGGUAGUCAGUUGGAUCUGAUUAUGGAAGUAUCUGAAUGCUAAGUUAAGAAAUUCAAGCCUCAUCCUUCAUGAAUUCAACAAACAUUUAUUGAACUCCAGUGUGGUAGCA